UAGGGAAUCUUCCACAAUGGACGAAAGUCUGAUGGAGCAACGCCGCGUGAGUGAAGAAGGGUUUCGGCUCGUAAAGCUCUGUUGGUAGUGAAGAAAGAUAGAGGUAGUAACUGGCCUUUAUUUGACGGUAAUUACUUAGAAAGUCACGGCUAACUCCGUGCC
RNAcentral lists this ribosomal RNA (162 nucleotides) under uncultured bacterium. RNAcentral describes it as "partial 16S ribosomal RNA". It matches the Rfam family "Bacterial small subunit ribosomal RNA", at positions 355 to 509 of the family's 1533-position model. The record is from RNAcentral.